RNAcentral lists this ribosomal RNA (470 nucleotides) under uncultured bacterium. RNAcentral's name for it is "bacterial SSU rRNA". It matches the Rfam family "Bacterial small subunit ribosomal RNA", at positions 355 to 822 of the family's 1533-position model. The record is from RNAcentral.
UGGGGAAUAUUGCGCAAUGGGCGAAAGCCUGACGCAGCAACGCCGCGUGAGUGAUGAAGGCCUUCGGGUCGUAAAGCUCUGUCGGAGGGAACGAAUGCUCCUGAAGUUAACAGCCUCAGGAGGUGACGGUACCCUCAAAGGAAGCACCGGCUAACUCUGUGCCAGCAGCCGCGGUAAUACAGAGGGGGCAAGCGUUGUUCGGAAUCACUGGGCGUAAAGCGCACGUAGGUGGAUAGUUAAGUUCGGGGUGAAAUCCCAGGGCUCAACCCUGGAACUGCCUCGGAUACUGGCUAUCUCGAGUCCGGAAGAGGUGAGUGGAAUUCCUAGUGUAGAGGUGAAAUUCGUAGAUAUUAGGAAGAACACCGGUGGCGAAGGCGGCUCACUGGUCCGGUACUGACACUGAGGUGCGAAAGCGUGGGGAGCAAACAGGAUUAGAUACCCCCGUAGUCCCUGAGCGGGCUGGCAAGGCG